Molecule: long non-coding RNA, 1351 nt
Organism: Lepidothrix coronata (blue-crowned manakin)
Lineage: Eukaryota; Metazoa; Chordata; Aves; Passeriformes; Pipridae
Exons: 2
Source: RefSeq, a predicted model, not a curated record
GCGCCGCUGUUGCCAGGGGAGCCGGGGCAGGGGAACGGGGCCGGGGUGCGGAGGCUGAUCAGUUCCGCCCGGCCCGGCCCGGCCCUUCCACGGGAAACGCGGGGAAACGCCGGCUAGAGAGCGGGGCCGCGGAGAGAAGCGGGACCACGGGAAAAAGCGGCCCCUCCGUGUCGGCCCUUCCGCCCGUGCGGGCCCGCCGGGCACCCUCUCUUGUAACCAAGCUUGGAGCCACCACCCAUCACCCACAGGCAGGAGCCAGCCCCGUACACAUCCCUGACCUCUGGGUUAUUACAUCUCCCAACCUGUGGGUUAUUACGGCUCCCUGACCUGUGGGUUACACCUCCUCAGGCCGCAGCAGCCAUGGACAAAGCUCUCAGUCACUUCCCCUCAGUGCCUGCUUGGAAACCAUUUCUCUGUUGGCGUGUGACACGUUCGGACGUGACCAGGGCACUUCCAUCACUCGCCCCGUUGAGGAGGCAGAGGAACAACAUCUGAGUGUCCCUUGAAGCUCGGAGGGCUGAGUGACUGAGGUCACUGUUCAUCCUAUGCUUCUGUUUCUAUUCCACCAAAACUCUCACUUAGGCAAAUGCAGCCCAAAGUCCUGGAAGCUCCCCCUGCUCGGCUUUACCCUGGAUGACUUCUCCGAGCCAGUGUCUGAUGUCUGAAAUGCAAUCGCAGUUAUGAAGGUUUGCAUACAAGGCCAUGAACUGCGGGUAACAACGGAGCCACCAGCAUUGUAAGAAAAAAAAAAGACGGAAUAAUGAGAUUAUCGCAGUUUAAAUUACUAAGCAACAGUUUCUCUGACAAUGAACUUAGUAACGCUCUGCCAUCUAUUUAAUCACGCUAAUGAGACAGAACAACUCCACUUAGAUACAAAUUACUCUGCAUUUCAUUUAAAUAAGGGUCAGGGAGCUAAAAGCCACACAAGCCACCACACUUCUGCUGUACAGCACAUCCAGCAAAAGACCUCCUUUGUUUCCAGAAUGGACCCAGGCUUUCUGGCCAUGAGCUGCCAAGGCAGGGCUGCACAAGGCAUCUUGCUCAAACCUCCCACCUCCGCUCCCCAACCGCCUGUGCGUGGGCCCAGAGCCUCUCUGGCUUGGGAACAGCUCCUUGGUUUGGAGAGGCUGACAGUCGAAGCCAAGCAGCACGGCUUGUUGAGAAUCUUCUCAUUUAUCCGGCUGGUGCCAUCAUGAUCAUCUUAAUAUAAAAAUCUGGUUUGGUAUGUGUCUCUCACCAUUUAAAACUGAUGACUUCCCUUGGAUAUUUAAAAAUUUUGUUUCAAAUCCAUGCCUCUUGGGCUGAAGCUGGUCGUGAGAGAGCAGGUCUGUAAUAAACUGAAGAAAAUUGA